RNAcentral lists this long non-coding RNA (209 nucleotides) under Elaeis guineensis (African oil palm). RNAcentral's name for it is "long non-coding RNA (EGUI_LNC018158)". The record is from RNAcentral. Lineage: Eukaryota; Viridiplantae; Streptophyta; Magnoliopsida; Arecales; Arecaceae.
AGAGAGCAUGGAGAAAAUAACCUACGGAGCAGUCGUUAUGAUCUCUGGUUGCAAUGUAAUAGAGAUGAACAGCCUUGAGACUCGCCAGGGGGAGGAGCAGUGGGCGGCAUCGGGCACAGUAUCCUCUGAUGUAUCAUCUCGAGGGAGAAAAUAAGUGGAGAAAAAAGCACCAAUGUAUUUUCUGAACAAGAAAAAAGGAUCGGGAUUCG